AAUCAACGCUGGCGGCGUGCCUAACACAUGCAAGUCGAACGCGAAAGCCCCUUCGGGGGUAAGUAGAGUGGCGUCCGGGUGAGUAACACGUAGGUAAUCUACCUUCGGGUGGGGAAUAACCAGUCGAAAGAUUGGCUAAUACCGCAUAAUGCAGCGGCACCUAAUGGUGAUUAGUUGUUAAAGCGGGGGAUCGUAAGACCUCGCGCCUGAAGAGGAGCCUGCGGCAGAUUAGCUAGNGGUGAGGUAAUGGCUCACCAAGGCUUCGAUCUGUAGCUGGUCUGAGAGGACGGCCAGCCACACUGGCACUGACACACGGGCCAGACUCCUACGGGAGGCAGCAGUGGGGAAUUUUGGGCAAUGGGCGAAAGCCUGACCCAGCAACGCCGCGUGAGGGAGGAAAUCCUUCGGGAUGUAAACCUCACAAGCAAGGGAAGAGAGCUCAGGGCCGAAUAAGCUUUGAGUCCGACGGUACCUUGCGUAAGCCACGGCUAAC
This 493-nucleotide ribosomal RNA is filed under the name uncultured bacterium. Its description in RNAcentral is "bacterial SSU rRNA". It matches the Rfam family "Bacterial small subunit ribosomal RNA", at positions 32 to 501 of the family's 1533-position model. The record is from RNAcentral.